GAAACAUCUUCGGGUUGUGAGGUUAAGCGACUAAGCGUACACGGUGGAUGCCCUGGCAGUCAGAGGCGAUGAAGGACGUGCUAAUCUGCGAUAAGCGUCGGUAAGGUGAUAUGAACCGUUAUAACCGGCGAUUUCCGAAUGGGGAAACCCAGUGUGAUUCGUCACACUAUCAUUAACUGAAUCCAUAGGUUAAUGAGGCGAACCGGGGGAACUGAAACAUCUAAGUACCCCGAGGAAAAGAAAUCAACCGAGAUUCCCCCAGUAGCGGCGAGCGAACGGGGAGCAGCCCAGAGCCUGAAUCAGUGUGUGUGUUAGUGGAAGCGUCUGGAAAGGCGCGCGAUACAGGGUGACAGCCCCGUACACAAAAAUGCACAUGCUGUGAGCUCGAUGAGUAGGGCGGGACACGUGGUAUCCUGUCUGAAUAUGGGGGGACCAUCCUCCAAGGCUAAAUACUCCUGACUGACCGAUAGUGAACCAGUACCGUGAGGGAAAGGCGAAAAGAACCCCGGCGAGGGGAGUGAAAAAGAACCUGAAACCGUGUACGUACAAGCAGUGGGAGCACGCUUAGGCGUGUGACUGCGUACCUUUUGUAUAAUGGGUCAGCGACUUAUAUUCUGUAGCAAGGUUAACCGAAUAGGGGAGCCGAAGGGAAACCGAGUCUUAACUGGGCGUUAAGUUGCAGGGUAUAGACCCGAAACCCGGUGAUCUAGCCAUGGGCAGGUUGAAGGUUGGGUAACACUAACUGGAGGACCGAACCGACUAAUGUUGAAAAAUUAGCGGAUGACUUGUGGCUGGGGGUGAAAGGCCAAUCAAACCGGGAGAUAGCUGGUUCUCCCCGAAAGCUAUUUAGGUAGCGCCUCGUGAAUUCAUCUCCGGGGGUAGAGCACUGUUUCGGCAAGGGGGUCAUCCCGACUUACCAACCCGAUGCAAACUGCGAAUACCGGAGAAUGUUAUCACGGGAGACACACGGCGGGUGCUAACGUCCGUCGUGAAGAGGGAAACAACCCAGACCGCCAGCUAAGGUCCCAAAGUCAUGGUUAAGUGGGAAACGAUGUGGGAAGGCCCAGACAGCCAGGAUGUUGGCUUAGAAGCAGCCAUCAUUUAAAGAAAGCGUAAUAGCUCACUGGUCGAGUCGGCCUGCGCGGAAGAUGUAACGGGGCUAAACCAUGCACCGAAGCUGCGGCAGCGACGCUGAUGCGUUGUUGGGUAGGGGAGCGUUCUGUAAGCCUGUGAAGGUGUGCUGUGAGGCAUGCUGGAGGUAUCAGAAGUGCGAAUGCUGACAUAAGUAACGAUAAAGCGGGUGAAAAGCCCGCUCGCCGGAAGACCAAGGGUUCCUGUCCAACGUUAAUCGGGGCAGGGUGAGUCGACCCCUAAGGCGAGGCCGAAAGGCGUAGUCGAUGGGAAACAGGUUAAUAUUCCUGUACUUGGUGUUACUGCGAAGGGGGGACGGAGAAGGCUAUGUUGGCCGGGCGACGGUUGUCCCGGUUUAAGCGUGUAGGCUGGUUUUCCAGGCAAAUCCGGAAAAUCAAGGCUGAGGCGUGAUGACGAGGCACUACGGUGCUGAAGCAACAAAUGCCCUGCUUCCAGGAAAAGCCUCUAAGCAUCAGGUAACAUCAAAUCGUACCCCAAACCGACACAGGUGGUCAGGUAGAGAAUACCAAGGCGCUUGAGAGAACUCGGGUGAAGGAACUAGGCAAAAUGGUGCCGUAACUUCGGGAGAAGGCACGCUGAUAUGUAGGUGAAGUCCCUCGCGGAUGGAGCUGAAAUCAGUCGAAGAUACCAGCUGGCUGCAACUGUUUAUUAAAAACACAGCACUGUGCAAACACGAAAGUGGACGUAUACGGUGUGACGCCUGCCCGGUGCCGGAAGGUUAAUUGAUGGGGUCAGCGCAAGCGAAGCUCUUGAUCGAAGCCCCGGUAAACGGCGGCCGUAACUAUAACGGUCCUAAGGUAGCGAAAUUCCUUGUCGGGUAAGUUCCGACCUGCACGAAUGGCGUAAUGAUGGCCAGGCUGUCUCCACCCGAGACUCAGUGAAAUUGAACUCGCUGUGAAGAUGCAGUGUACCCGCGGCAAGACGGAAAGACCCCGUGAACCUUUACUAUAGCUUGACACUGAACAUUGAGCCUUGAUGUGUAGGAUAGGUGGGAGGCUUUGAAGUGUGGACGCCAGUCUGCAUGGAGCCGGCCUUGAAAUACCACCCUUUAAUGUUUGAUGUUCUAACGUUGACCCGUGAUCCGGGUUGCGGACAGUGUCUGGUGGGUAGUUUGACUGGGGCGGUCUCCUCCUAAAGAGUAACGGAGGAGCACGAAGGUUGGCUAAUCCUGGUCGGACAUCAGGAGGUUAGUGCAAUGGCAUAAGCCAGCUUGACUGCGAGCGUGACGGCGCGAGCAGGUGCGAAAGCAGGUCAUAGUGAUCCGGUGGUUCUGAAUGGAAGGGCCAUCGCUCAACGGAUAAAAGGUACUCCGGGGAUAACAGGCUGAUACCGCCCAAGAGUUCAUAUCGACGGCGGUGUUUGGCACCUCGAUGUCGGCUCAUCACAUCCUGGGGCUGAAGUAGGUCCCAAGGGUAUGGCUGUUCGCCAUUUAAAGUGGUACGCGAGCUGGGUUUAGAACGUCGUGAGACAGUUCGGUCCCUAUCUGCCGUGGGCGCUGGAGAACUGAGGGGGGCUGCUCCUAGUACGAGAGGACCGGAGUGGACGCAUCACUGGUGUUCGGGUUGUCAUGCCAAUGGCACUGCCCGGUAGCUAAAUGCGGAAGAGAUAAGUGCUGAAAGCAUCUAAGCACGAAACUUGCCCCGAGAUGAGUUCUCCCUGACUCCUUGAGAGUCCUGAAGGAACGUUGAAGACGACGACGUUGAUAGGCCGGGUGUGUAAGCGCAGCGAUGCGUUGAGCUAACCGGUACUAAUGAACCGUGAGGCUUAACCUU
RNAcentral lists this ribosomal RNA (2924 nucleotides) under Escherichia coli 3.2608. RNAcentral describes it as "bacterial LSU rRNA". It matches the Rfam family "Bacterial large subunit ribosomal RNA". RNAcentral also lists the same sequence under 1 other name. The record is from RNAcentral. Lineage: Bacteria; Pseudomonadati; Pseudomonadota; Gammaproteobacteria; Enterobacterales; Enterobacteriaceae.